AUUUAUAUAGCUUAUAAAGGAGAGCAUCGUAUUGAAGCUACGAAGGAGAUAUUUUUUAUCUGUAAAUA
Non-coding RNA from Penaeus chinensis, 68 nucleotides. NCBI's taxonomy places the organism in Eukaryota, Metazoa, Arthropoda, Malacostraca, Decapoda, Penaeidae. The record is from the annotation of a RefSeq genome assembly.